Molecule: unclassified non-coding RNA, 254 nt
Filed under: uncultured Alphaproteobacteria bacterium
Lineage: Bacteria; Pseudomonadati; Pseudomonadota; Alphaproteobacteria
Description: contains 16S-23S intergenic spacer region
Rfam family: Bacterial small subunit ribosomal RNA
Source: RNAcentral
UACGAAGGGGGCUAGCGUUGCUCGGAAUCACUGGGCGUAAAGCGCACGUAGGUGGGUUCUUAAGUCAGGGGUGAAAUCCUGGAGCUCAACUCCAGAACUGCCUUUGAUACUGGGAAUCUUCGAGUCCGGGAGAGGUGGGUGGAACUGCGAGUGUAGAGGUGAAAUUCGUAGAUAUUCGCAAGAACACCAGUGGCGAAGGCGGCUCACUGGCCCGGUACUGACACUGAGGUGCGAAAGCGUGGGGAGCAAACAGG